RNAcentral lists this ribosomal RNA (429 nucleotides) under Gemmatimonadota bacterium. RNAcentral's name for it is "Gemmatimonadetes bacterium partial 16S ribosomal RNA". It matches the Rfam family "Bacterial small subunit ribosomal RNA", at positions 355 to 776 of the family's 1533-position model. The record is from RNAcentral. Lineage: Bacteria; Pseudomonadati; Gemmatimonadota.
UAGGGAAUCUUCGGCAAUGGACGAAAGUCUGACCGAGCAACGCCGCGUGAGUGAAGAAGGUUUUCGGAUCGUAAAACUCUGUUGUUAGAGAAGAACAAGGACGUUAGUAACUGAACGUCCCCUGACGGUAUCUAACCAGAAAGCCACGGCUAACUACGUGCCAGCAGCCGCGGUAAUACGUAGGUGGCAAGCGUUGUCCGGAUUUAUUGGGCGUAAAGCGAGCGCAGGCGGUUUCUUAAGUCUGAUGUGAAAGCCCCCGGCUCAACCGGGGAGGGUCAUUGGAAACUGGGAGACUUGAGUGCAGAAGAGGAGAGGGGAAUUCCAUGUGUAGCGGUGAAAUGCGUAGAUAUAUGGAGGAACACCAGUGGCGAAGGCGGCUCUCUGGUCUGUAACUGACGCUGAGGCUAGAAAGCGUGGGGAGCAAACAGG